RNAcentral lists this long non-coding RNA (494 nucleotides) under Ficedula albicollis (Collared flycatcher). RNAcentral's name for it is "lncRNA (ENSFALG00000025638.1)". The record is from RNAcentral. Lineage: Eukaryota; Metazoa; Chordata; Aves; Passeriformes; Muscicapidae.
CUGGGACUCAGCUCUGCUCCCACAGUGCCCUGGUUUGCAGCCACCGAGGCCUGAGUGCCUCCUCACAGGAACAUCACAGUCCUGCUCCUUCCUGCAGAGACAAGCUGGGCAAGUUACAAGACUGGAAGAGGCUGACCCGAACUUUGAAGGAGGAAAACAGCUAUUUGAAUCUUGCUUUUCCAAACAUUCUAAGAGCACAUUAUCCAGCAGGCCUAGAAAAACACUUAAAAGCAACAGCAGCAAGCAGCCUCCAUGUUUCAACACAACCGGGAAGCAAACACUUGAAAGACUGAACAAAGUGGGUACUUGCUUGAUGGGGUCUGCAUUACCAACAGAUCCAGCCACUGCUUCAUGCUAUGAGAUGUGCAGUCAGAAGAAUUCACUGGUGUAGCCCUGACUAAGGAGCAUCCUAAUGCCACUAACUACCUACCUACCUAACUACCAUCCUAACUACCACCUCUGAGAGCCUGAAAAAGAAAAAAGGUUCAUGAACA